This 223-nucleotide long non-coding RNA is filed under the name Hordeum vulgare. RNAcentral's name for it is "long non-coding RNA (HVUL_LNC006166)". The record is from RNAcentral. Lineage: Eukaryota; Viridiplantae; Streptophyta; Magnoliopsida; Poales; Poaceae.
ACCGGAAUCCCGAUGCACAAGAUAUCUCGUCAAAGGUAAAACUAAUCCAGCAAGGCCGCCCGACGUGUCGACGAUCCCGAUAGGAGUCGCGUACCUCGUUCUCAGGACACGGCGGAUGAGCUAGACGCCGGGAUCGCUAAACCUCCGGGUGACCAGAGGGGCGCCGGACAUCGCUCAGGUGGGGCCAACACUCAUGAGGAGCACUGGCCCGGGGGUUGAUUAA